This 425-nucleotide ribosomal RNA is filed under the name uncultured bacterium. Its description in RNAcentral is "partial 16S ribosomal RNA". It matches the Rfam family "Bacterial small subunit ribosomal RNA", at positions 354 to 796 of the family's 1533-position model. The record is from RNAcentral.
GUGGGGAAUAUUGGGCAAUGGGCGAAAGCCUGACCCAGCAACGCCGCGUGAAGGAAGAAGGUUUUCGGAUCGUAAACUUCUAUCCUUGGUGAAGAUAAUGACGGUAGCCAAGAAGGAAGCCCCGGCUAACUACGUGCCAGCAGCCGCGGUAAUACGUAGGGGGCAAGCGUUGUCCGGAAUGAUUGGGCGUAAAGGGCGCGUAGGCGGCCAGGUAAGUCUGAAGUGAAAGUCCUGCUUUUAAGGUGGGAAUUGCUUUGGAUACUGUCGGGCUUGAGUGCAGGAGAGGUAAGCGGAAUUCCCGGUGUAGCGGUGAAAUGCGUAGAGAUCGGGAGGAACACCAGUGGCGAAGGCGGCUUACUGGACUGUAACUGACGCUGAGGCGCGAAAGUGUGGGGAGCAAACAGGAUUAGAUACCCCAGUAGUCC